Molecule: ribosomal RNA, 403 nt
Filed under: uncultured bacterium
Lineage: Bacteria
Description: bacterial SSU rRNA
Rfam family: Bacterial small subunit ribosomal RNA
Source: RNAcentral
UCGGGAAUAUUGCGCAAUGGAGGAAACUCUGACGCAGUGACGCCGCGUAUAGGAAGAAGGUUUUCGGAUUGUAAACUAUUGUCGUUAGGGAAGAAAAAGGACAGUACCUAAGGAGGAAGCUCCGGCUAACUACGUGCCAGCAGCCGCGGUAAUACGUAGGGAGCAAGCGUUAUCCGGAUUUAUUGGGUGUAAAGGGUGCGUAGACGGGCUAACAAGUUAGUUGUGAAAUCCCUCGGCUUAACUGAGGAACUGCAACUAAAACUGUAAGUCUUGAGUGCAGGAGAGGUAAGUGGAAUUCCUAGUGUAGCGGUGAAAUGCGUAGAUAUUAGGAGGAACACCAGUGGCGAAGGCGACUUACUGGACUGUAACUGACGUUGAGGCACGAAAGUGUGGGGAGCAAACA